GGAAUAUUGGACAAUGGGCGCAAGCCUGAUCCAGCCAUGCCGCGUGAGUGAUGAAGGCCUUAGGGUUGUAAAGCUCUUUCGCCGGUGAAGAUAAUGACUGUAGCCGGUAAAGAAGCCCCGGCUAACUUCGUGCCAGCAGCCGCGGUAAUACGAAGGGGGCUAGCGUUGUUCGGAAUUACUGGGCGUAAAGCGCACGUAGGCUGACUUUUAAGUCAGGGGUGAAAUCCCGAGGCUCAACCUCGGAACUGCCUUUGAUACUGGAAGUCUUGAGUCCGAGAGAGGUGAGUGGAACUCCGAGUGUAGAGGUGAAAUUCGUAGAUAUUCGGAAGAACACCAGUGGCGAAGGCGGCUCACUGGCUCGGUACUGACGCUGAGGUGCGAAAGCGUGGGGAGCAAACAGGAUUAGAAACCCUGGUAGUCC
RNAcentral lists this ribosomal RNA (421 nucleotides) under uncultured bacterium. RNAcentral describes it as "bacterial SSU rRNA". It matches the Rfam family "Bacterial small subunit ribosomal RNA", at positions 358 to 796 of the family's 1533-position model. The record is from RNAcentral.